UCCUCCUUAGCUUAGUUGGUAGAGCGCGUCACUAGUAAUGACUCCGACUCACGUUCAGUCCUUCAAGUCGGCUAGAAGGAA
This 81-nucleotide transfer RNA is filed under the name Laccaria bicolor S238N-H82. RNAcentral describes it as "tRNA-Thr (AGT) (tRNA-Thr-AGT-3-1)". The record is from RNAcentral. Lineage: Eukaryota; Fungi; Basidiomycota; Agaricomycetes; Agaricales; Hydnangiaceae.